CCCGAAACCUCCCCUGUGCGCCGUUUGCUAUCGAGUUGGUGUUCUUACCAAUACCCCGCCCUCGGUUCCUUUUUUUGGGGUCUUGCGUGUCAUGUACUUCAACCUCAUCAGGUCCACAGAUGGAUAUUUCUCUGUUAUGUAGCCGCGAAUGGCCUGCGAUGAGACCAUUCGAGAGUCCAACUCCUUCAGCGCUUCUUUAACCAUCACCAUCGUAGGUGGAUGAAGAGAAGUUUUCCGUGCCACAGCAGAUACCUUCCAGUACAUCAAAGCCAAAGAUCUUCCUCGGCCCAGUCUAACAGUGAUUCCUGCAGUCAUCAAAGAGAGAGACUCAGUUCAGCUGAACUGUCAGACUCCUUCAUCUGUCUCUGAGUGUUACUUCAAAAUGGAAGGGCAAGUGGAAUUCACCCUACCAUCACCCUGUCAACAGACUCUCACAGGAACACUACUGGUGAGGUGGACAGGUCAGAGUUCACCAGCUGAGGUCAAAAUACAAUGUCAGUACAGUGCUACAGGUUCACAGUUUAGAUCCAUGUUCAGUGAGCCUUCAACAGUCACAAUUCAGG
This 563-nucleotide long non-coding RNA is filed under the name Salmo salar (Atlantic salmon). Its description in RNAcentral is "lncRNA (ENSSSAG00000093033.1)". The record is from RNAcentral. Lineage: Eukaryota; Metazoa; Chordata; Actinopteri; Salmoniformes; Salmonidae.